RNAcentral lists this ribosomal RNA (670 nucleotides) under uncultured archaeon. RNAcentral describes it as "bacterial SSU rRNA". It matches the Rfam family "Archaeal small subunit ribosomal RNA", at positions 156 to 830 of the family's 1478-position model. The record is from RNAcentral.
GAACAUUAUGCCUGGAAUGGUUUAUGUUUCAAAUAAUUUAUUGCCGUAGGAUGGGACUGCGGCCUAUCAGUUUGUUGGUGAGGUAAUGGCCCACCAAGACUAUUACAGGUACGGGCUCUGAGAGGAGUAGCCCGGAGAUGGGUACUGAGACACGGACCCAGGCCCUAUGGGGCGCAGCAGGCGAGAAAACUUUGCAAUGUGCGAAAGCACGACAAGGUUAAUCCGAGUGGUUUCUGCUAAAGGAACCUUUUGUCAGUCCUAGAAACACUGAUGAAUAAGGGGUGGGCAAGUUCUGGUGUCAGCCGCCGCGGUAAAACCAGCACCUCAAGUGGUCAGGAUGAUUAUUGGGCCUAAAGCAUCCGUAGCCUGCUUUGUAAGUUUUCGGUUAAAUCCAUACGCUCAACGUAUGGGCUGCCGGGAAUACUGCAAAGCUAGGGAGUGGGAGAGGUAGACGGUACUCGGUAGGAAGGGGUAAAAUCCUUUGAUCUAUUGAUGACCACCUGUGGCGAAGGCGGUCUACCAGAACACGUCCGACGGUGAGGGAUGAAAGCUGGGGGAGCAAACCGGAUUAGAUACCCGGGUAGUCCCAGCUGUAAACUAUGCAAACUCAGUGAUGCAUUGGCUUGAUGCCAGUGCAGUGCUGCAGGGAAGCCGUUAAGUUUGCCGCCUG